Molecule: ribosomal RNA, 521 nt
Filed under: Pichia kudriavzevii
Lineage: Eukaryota; Fungi; Ascomycota; Pichiomycetes; Pichiales; Pichiaceae
Description: eukaryotic LSU rRNA
Rfam family: Eukaryotic large subunit ribosomal RNA
Source: RNAcentral
GCAUAUCAAUAAGCGGAGGAAAAGAAACCAACAGGGAUUGCCUCAGUAGCGGCGAGUGAAGCGGCAAGAGCUCAGAUUUGAAAUCGUGCUUUGCGGCACGAGUUGUAGAUUGCAGGUUGGAGUCUGUGUGGAAGGCGGUGUCCAAGUCCCUUGGAACAGGGCGCCCAGGAGGGUGAGAGCCCCGUGGGAUGCCGGCGGAAGCAGUGAGGCCCUUCUGACGAGUCGAGUGUUGGGAUGCAGCUCCAAGCGGUGGANUUCCAUCUAAGGUAAUACUGGCGAGAGACGAUAGCGAACAAGACUGGAAGGAAAGUGAAAAGACUUUGAAAAGAGAGGAACAGACGGAAUGUGAAGGAAGGGAUGCGCCGACUGNGAUGCGACCGUGCUCUCGGGGGGUCUGGUUCCUGGCACUCGUCUGUGAGAAAGGUUGACGGGUCUCGAUGUUAGCAGCAAGUGGGGGGCAGAUGGGCGGAGCCGUGUGAACGGACCCCCGCUGACCGACAGGGAUCGUAACUGAGCAUCUU